Molecule: non-coding RNA, 27 nt
Filed under: Mus musculus (house mouse)
Lineage: Eukaryota; Metazoa; Chordata; Mammalia; Rodentia; Muridae
Source: RNAcentral
AAGAAAAUGAAUACUGAAGGCCUGGGU